Non-coding RNA from Leguminivora glycinivorella, 73 nucleotides. The record is from the annotation of a RefSeq genome assembly. NCBI's taxonomy places the organism in Eukaryota, Metazoa, Arthropoda, Insecta, Lepidoptera, Tortricidae.
GGCUUGGUGGCUCAGUUGGCAGAGCUCUAGAGCAUGGAUCCAGAGGCCGUGAGUUCAAGUCUCACCCAGGGCA